UACGAAGGGGGCUAGCGUUGUUCGGAUUUACUGGGCGUAAAGCGCACGUAGGCGGAUCGUUAAGUCGGGGGUGAAAUCCUGGAGCUCAACUCCAGAACUGCCUUCGAUACUGGCGAUCUAGAGUCCGGAAGAGGUGAGUGGAACUCCUAGUGUAGAGGUGGAAUUCGUAGAUAUUAGGAAGAACACCAGUGGCGAAGGCGGCUCGCUGGUCCGGUACUGACGCUGAGGUGCGAAGGCGUGGGGAGCAAACAGG
Molecule: ribosomal RNA, 253 nt
Filed under: uncultured bacterium
Lineage: Bacteria
Description: partial 16S ribosomal RNA
Rfam family: Bacterial small subunit ribosomal RNA
Source: RNAcentral